Unclassified non-coding RNA from Callithrix jacchus (white-tufted-ear marmoset), 148 nucleotides. It matches the Rfam family "Metazoan signal recognition particle RNA". Rfam says of the family: The signal recognition particle (SRP) is a universally conserved ribonucleoprotein. It is involved in the co-translational targeting of proteins to membranes. The eukaryotic SRP consists of a 300-nucleotide 7S RNA and six proteins: SRPs 72, 68, 54, 19, 14, and 9. The record is from Ensembl. NCBI's taxonomy places the organism in Eukaryota, Metazoa, Chordata, Mammalia, Primates, Cebidae.
GCUGGGUGUGGUGUUGCAUGCCUGUAAUCCCAGCUACUAGGGAGGCUGAGGCAGGAGAAUUGCUUGAACCUGGGAAGUGGAGUUUGCAGUGAGCCAAGAUUGUGCCACUGGAAGCCAGCCUGGGUGAUAGAGCAGGACCCUGUCUCAA